Long non-coding RNA from Melanotaenia boesemani (Boeseman's rainbowfish), 741 nucleotides. RefSeq lists it as uncharacterized. Lineage: Eukaryota; Metazoa; Chordata; Actinopteri; Atheriniformes; Melanotaeniidae. The transcript has 2 exons. The record is from RefSeq and is a predicted model, not a curated record.
CAUAACAAUAAAGCUGAUAUGUGUAGAACUAAAUGAUCUCUGGCCUCUGGAGCCCUUUGGUACCAUCACAGAAGAUGCUGUGUGCGAUGGCACUGAAUUAGUGUGUAUUGUCGCUGUUGAGCAGAAACCUUGUAUGUUCCAGAAACAACAUUAAGGGAAAUGUGUAGAAAACGUGCUUUUUAAAGCAGAUGACCACAACAUUGUCAAAGUUAACAUUUUAUCUCUGUAUUAGGUAGUUGAAUGUAUGAUAUUUGUAACAUGCUGCUCAAAAAAUGAAGUUGUAGAGUUUUGGACUUAACCAUGUUCAACAUUGGUUGGUCUUUACCAGUGCAUAUACGGCAGUCAGUGGAUAGCAUCACUUUAUCAUUUAGUUACCAUGUUUGCAGACUCACACAGAUUUUAUUUAUUUAUAUAGAAAAAUAUUGUUUAUUUGUGUAAGAAGGUUUUGCAGCUCUUGCAGGGUAAGUUGUUUAAUGGUGCUGCUGGAUUCUUUUUUGACAGCUAAAUGAAGUAGCUGUCUUUGACAGACUUUGGCUCUGUACUGCUUCUUUCUGGUGGGGGCAAAAAGAAAUGCAAAUAAAUUAAACACUAUUAAAGAAAUGCUAGUUAAGUUCAUUAAGUAGUUCCAGGAUGGAGGCUUGGUGGAAAUAUAAAUUUUUUCAGAUAUCCAGUGGAGUAAUCGGAUUUUUUAACAAUCUGUUUUUAUUUAUUUUUUUUAUUGACCUGUUACCUUCAGAGCCA